This 463-nucleotide ribosomal RNA is filed under the name uncultured bacterium. RNAcentral describes it as "bacterial SSU rRNA". It matches the Rfam family "Bacterial small subunit ribosomal RNA", at positions 60 to 524 of the family's 1533-position model. The record is from RNAcentral.
AGUCGAGGGGUAUGGUUCUUCGGAACCAGAGACCGGCGCACGGGUGCGUAACGCGUAUGCAAUCUGCCUUUCACAGAGGGAUAGCCCAGAGAAAUUUGGAUUAAUACCUCAUAGUAUUAUGAAGUGGCAUCACUUUAUAAUUAAAGUCACAACGGUGAAAGAUGAGCAUGCGUCCCAUUAGCUAGUUGGUAAGGUAACGGCUUACCAAGGCAACGAUGGGUAGGGGUCCUGAGAGGGAGAUCCCCCACACUGGUACUGAGACACGGACCAGACUCCUACGGGAGGCAGCAGUGAGGAAUAUUGGUCAAUGGGCGCAAGCCUGAACCAGCCACGCCGCGUGCAGGAUGACGGUCCUAUGGAUUGUAAACUGCUUUUGUACGGGAAGAAACACUGAUUCGUGAAUCAGCUUGACGGUACCGUAAGAAUAAGGAUCGGCUAACUCCGUGCCAGCAGCCGCGGUAAU